UAUGUGAUCGUCUCUCGCAUAUCAAUAAGCGGAGGAAAAGAAACUAACAAGGAUUCCCCUAGUAACGGCGAGUGAAGCGGGAAGAGCUCAAAUUUGAAAUCUUAAAGGGUUUCCCUUUACGAAUUGUAGUUUAAAGAAGUGUUUUCUGUUGAGGUUUUGGUAAAAGUUCUUUGGAAUAGGACAUCAUAGAGGGUGAGAAUCCCGUAUUUGACCUUUACUUUCAACUUUGUGAUACACUUUCAAAGAGUCGGAUUGUUUGGGAAUGCAGUCCAAAAUGGGUGGUAAAUUUCAUCUAAAGCUAAAUAUUGGCGAGAGACCGAUAGCGAACAAGUACCGUGAGGGAAAGAUGAAAAGAACUUUGAAAAGAGAGUUAAACAGUACGUGAAAUUGUCAAAAGGGAAGCGUUUGACACCAGUGUUGUUUUUCUGAAAAUCAAUAAAAGAACUGUUUAUGCUAAGUUGUUUAGACUUUAUCAGCUAAUCUGUUUAGUUUUGAGCUUUUCUUUAAUGCACUUUUCAGUUAACAAGUCAACAUCAAUUUCUUUUGCUGUAAAAAAGCUUGAGGAAGGUGGCUUGAGAUUCGUCUUAAGUGUUUAUAGCCUCUUGCCUAUGCAGUCGGAGAGAUUGAGGUCUGCAGCGUAGAUCCUUCGGGGCUAAAUGCAUUUGUGCUAAGUUAUAGCAUUUUAUAGACAACUUGUUGACUAUGAUUUGUCUUGUAGCUUACUCGCUUAUGUUAUUUUACCUACGCUUAGGAUGUUGAUCUACAGAGCGAGAGU
Molecule: ribosomal RNA, 775 nt
Filed under: uncultured Neocallimastigales
Lineage: Eukaryota; Fungi; Neocallimastigomycota; Neocallimastigomycetes; Neocallimastigales
Description: partial large subunit ribosomal RNA
Rfam family: Eukaryotic large subunit ribosomal RNA
Source: RNAcentral